UGAUGACGAGACGCUAAGGCGUUGAAGCAGUGUAUGUCAGACUUCCAAGAAAAGCUCGCAAUGUCACAAAUAAAAAUGCCUGUACCAUAACCGACACAGGUGGGUAGGUAGAGUAUACUAAGGGGCGCGAGAUAACUCUCUCUAAGGAACUCGGCAAAAUGACUCCGUAACUUCGGGAGAAGGAGUGCCUUAUUUAUAAGGUUGCAAUAACAAGAUCCAAGCAACUGUUUAUCAAAAACACAGGUCUCCGCUAAGUCGUAAGACGAUGUAUGGGGGCUGACGCCUGCCCAGUGCCAGAAGGUUAAAGAAGUUGGUUAGUGUAUGCGAAGCUGAUGACUGAAGCCCUGGUGAACGGCGGCCGUAACGAUAACGGUCCUAAGGUAGCGAAAUUCCUUGUCGGGUAAGUUCCGACCCGCACGAAAGGCGUAAUGAUUUGGAUACUGUCUCGGAGAGAGGCUCGGUGAAAUAGACUUGUCUGUGAAGAUGCGGACUACCUGCACCAGGACGGAAAGACCCUAUGAAGCUUUACUGUAACUUGAAAUUGGAAUUGGACUUUGCUUGCGCAGUAUAGGUGGGAAGCGUUGAAAAUAUUCUUGCGGGAGUAUUGGAGCUAUCAGUGAGAUACCACUCUUGUAAUGUUAGAUUUCUAACUUUGAACCAUAAUCUGGUCAAAGAACAGUUUCAGGUGGGCAGUUUGACUGGGGCGGUCGCCUCCCAAAUGGUAACGGAGGCGUACAAAGGUUUCCUCUGAACGGAUAGAAAUCGUAUCUAGAGUGUAAAGGCAUAAGGAAGCUUGACUGUGAGACCUACAAGUCGAGCAGGGACGAAAGUCGGUCUUAGUGAUCUGACGGUACUGAGUGGAAAGGCCGUCACUCAACGGAUAAAAGUUACUCUAGGGAUAACAGGCUGAUCUCCCCCAAGAGUUCACAUCGACGGGGAGGUUUGGCACCUCGAUGUCGCCUCAUCGCAUCCUGGGGCGGUAGUACGUCCCAAGGGUUGGGCUGUUCGCCCAUGAAAGCGGUACGCGAGCUGGGUUCAGAACGUCGUGAGACAGUUCGGUCCAUAUCCGGUGUAGGCGCUAGAAUAUUGAGAGGAGCCUUCUUUAGUACGAGAGGACCGAGAAGGACACACCGCUGGUGUACCAGUUAUCGUGCCAACGGUAAACGCUGGGUAGCUAUGUGUGGAGUGGAUAACCGCUGAAAGCAUCUGAGUGGGAAGCCCACCUCGAGAUGAGUAUUCUCA
This 1242-nucleotide ribosomal RNA is filed under the name metagenome. RNAcentral's name for it is "bacterial LSU rRNA". It matches the Rfam family "Bacterial large subunit ribosomal RNA", at positions 1564 to 2816 of the family's 2925-position model. The record is from RNAcentral.